GGAGGGGGAGGAGGAGGGGCGCCGCGGCCUUCGGGCGGGGACCCGGGAAGCCCACCCCGCGCGCCCGGGCCUGGAGGGCUCUCACCGCGGUCCGGGCGCCGCGCUCGCCUCUCUCCCCGGGAAGCGCGGCGGCCGCGACCGUCCGCGCGUGGAGCCGGUUCUUCGAAGGGCUGGCGGGCCUCCUAGCCGGAAAAUGCCGGCGGAGGCCGUGGUGGGGGCGGGGAGGAGCCACCGCCGCGCCCCAGACAUCGCAGGAAUUCCGGACGCUGCGCCGGGCCCGGCGGCCCUGAGGCUGGCACCUGGCUCCGGUCGGGCCGCCCAGGUUUUGUGGCGCCCGAGACCAGCGUUGGGAAAUUAGGCUGGAGCCAUCAUGAAAACUUUUUCAGGCAGUGCACGCUCGCCUGUGCCUGCCCAUCUGCUUCCAACCUCUCCCCACCUUUCGGGGCGCAGCCUGCCUGCUCCAUCGGAAUGCCCUUUAGAUGAAUCCCCUUGUGCUGUUACUGUGUCCUUGUCGUCCAGCUCUCUGGUUUUCUUUUCUAUACACCUUCUCGGUUUCCAGAGUCUUAAUUCGCCUGCUUGUCCUUAACCAUCAAAACUCUUUAUUAAUAUCCUGGCUUUCGCUGAUUUUUAUUCUCCCUACCCCUUCUCCCUAGCUAUGUAUUGCUGGGUGAGCUCCCGAGGCUUGAAAACCCAAGUAUGCUGUGCUGGCUGCGUUGUAAUCGGUAGAGAGCCACCAGCUAAAAAUUGUAUUUUGUACCAACUCUAAUGGCAUUUAAUAAAUGUAUACCUAAAAAGAGUGUGUGUGUAUAUAUAUACUAUUUUACAGCAGAGUCACUAAUUGAUUUCUAAGCUUGAUUUUGCCACCUUGUGAUAGUGUUCGUAACCAAUUUUUUUCAUAAAUUUCACAAAUGUGACAACAGAUAAAAUCUUAUAAACAAUAUUAGAUGUAAAAAACUCGCAGUAAAUGCCGCUGUCUAUGCUACAUGACUCAAAUACACCUGCUUUAAAUGAUUUCCAGCAAAAAUGUCCUUGCUACAGUUACUAGGACAUUGAUAUACUAAGGUAACCAUUCAGAUUAGCACAGACUUUGAAAGAAAUCCGACUAAACCGAAAAUAAAUUAGUCAAAAAGUAAUUACUAAGGUAACCAUUCAGAUUAGCACAGACUUGGAAGAAACCUGACUAAACCGAAAAUAAAUUGGUCAAAAAGUGGUCGGGCAAAUAGCUUGCUUUCAGGCUGAUCUCCAUGAUAUAAAAAAGUUGCCGUAGCUGGCAAAAGUUCUUUCGGAUUAUUGUUUCAAAAUUGCCCUGCUAGUGUGAUUAAGGUCCACGGUCAACUUAAUUGUUUUGAAGAAAGAGGAAGUGGCCCAGAGCGCCCCUUAUUCAGAGGAGAGGUCCCUACCUGGUUCCUCCCAAGCUCAAGCUUCCACCUAUACAACCAACUUCUUCCUCUCUGCUUGUGGGUCUCCUUCCUGCCCCCACCCCAUCCCACCCCAUUCACCAAGCUUUCGCUUCUAUCA
Molecule: long non-coding RNA, 1518 nt
Filed under: Homo sapiens (human)
Lineage: Eukaryota; Metazoa; Chordata; Mammalia; Primates; Hominidae
Description: HSALNT0273394
Source: RNAcentral